UUUCCAGACUCCUACGGGAGGCAGCAGUGGGGAAUAUUGGGCAAUGGGCGCAAGCCUGACCCAGCAACGCCGCGUGAAGGAAGAAGGCUUUCGGGUUGUAAACUUCUUUUCUCAGGGACGAAGAAAGUGACGGUACCUGAGGAAUAAGCCACGGCUAACUACGUGCCAGCAGCCGCGGUAAUACGUAGGUGGCAAGCGUUAUCCGGAUUUAUUGGGUUUAAAGGGUGCGCAGGCGGAGGCACAAGUCAGCGGUAAAAUCGCGGGGCCCACCCCCGCUCCGCCGUUGAAACUGUGUCCCUUGAGUGCGCGAAGGGUAGGCGGAAUGCGUGGUGUAGCGGUGAAAUGCAUAGAUAUCACGCAGAACUCCGAUCGCGAAGGCAGCCUACCGGCGCGCAACUGACGCUCAUGCACGAAAGCGUGGGUAUCGAACAGGAUUAGAUACCCCAGUAUC
Molecule: ribosomal RNA, 451 nt
Filed under: uncultured bacterium
Lineage: Bacteria
Description: partial 16S ribosomal RNA
Rfam family: Bacterial small subunit ribosomal RNA
Source: RNAcentral